UGGGGAAUAUUGCACAAUGGGCGCAAGCCUGAUGCAGCCAUGCCGCGUGUGUGAAGAAGGCCUUCGGGUUGUAAAGCACUUUCAGCGAGGAGGAAGGUGGUGAACUUAAUACGUUCAUCAAUUGACGUUACUCGCAGAAGAAGCACCGGCUAACUCCGUGCCAGCAGCCGCGGUAAUACGGAGGGUGCAAGCGUUAAUCGGAAUUACUGGGCGUAAAGCGCNCGCAGGCGGUUUGUUAAGUCAGAUGUGAAAUCCCCGGGCUCAACCUGGGAACUGCAUUUGAAACUGGCAAGCUAGAGUCUCGUAGAGGGGGGUAGAAUUCCAGGUGUAGCGGUGAAAUGCGUAGAGAUCUGGAGGAAUACCGGUGGCGAA
This 372-nucleotide ribosomal RNA is filed under the name uncultured bacterium. RNAcentral's name for it is "partial 16S ribosomal RNA". It matches the Rfam family "Bacterial small subunit ribosomal RNA", at positions 355 to 719 of the family's 1533-position model. The record is from RNAcentral.